RNAcentral lists this ribosomal RNA (258 nucleotides) under uncultured bacterium. Its description in RNAcentral is "partial 16S ribosomal RNA". It matches the Rfam family "Bacterial small subunit ribosomal RNA", at positions 96 to 354 of the family's 1533-position model. The record is from RNAcentral.
UGGCGGACGGGUGAGUAACGCGUGGAAAACCUGCCGUAUACUGGGGGAUAACACUUAGAAAUAGGUGCUAAUACCGCAUAAGCGCACAGCUUCGCAUGAAGUGGUGUGAAAAACUCUGGUGGUAUACGAUGGUUCCGCGUCUGAUUAGCUUGUUGGCGGGGUAAUGGCUCACCAAGGCGACGAUCAGUAGGGGUUCUGAGAGGAAGGUCCCCCACAUUGGAACUGAGACACGGUCCAAACUCCUACGGAAGGCAGCAG